CGAACCUGGUUUCUUUCUAGUGAACUAGACGUCCUUUUAAUUUCAUCUAUGGUUUUGGGUUUUAAGUGUAAUAAGGCCUUUUAAUUAUUUUCAUGGUUUUGUUUUACUUUUAUUAUUUUAUUUUACUAUGAUGAAACAAACUAUGAUGACUAAGGAAAAUGGGUUAGCUUUAGGACGCGUUUUCAAAAACAUUAAGGGAUUUCAAAAUAACACGAUUACAAGUAAGACUUCCGCUAAGCAAACGUUU
This 247-nucleotide long non-coding RNA is filed under the name Gossypium barbadense (sea-island cotton). RNAcentral's name for it is "long non-coding RNA (GBAR_LNC000588)". Lineage: Eukaryota; Viridiplantae; Streptophyta; Magnoliopsida; Malvales; Malvaceae. The record is from RNAcentral.